UGGGGAAUUUUGGACAAUGGGCGAAAGCCUGAUCCAGCAAUGCCGCGUGUGUGAAGAAGGCCUUCGGGUUGUAAAGCACUUUUGUCCGGAAAAGAAAUCCUUGGCUCUAAUACAGUCGGGGGAUGACGGUACCGGAAGAAUAAGCACCGGCUAACUACGUGCCAGCAGCCGCGGUAAUACGUAGGGUGCAAGCGUUAAUCGGAAUUACUGGGCGUAAAGCGUGCGCAGGCGGUUUGCUAAGACCGAUGUGAAAUCCCCGGGCUCAACCUGGGAACUGCAUUGGUGACUGGCAGGGCUAGAGUAUGGCAGAGGGGGGUAGAAUUCCACGUNUAGCAGUGAAAUGCGUAGAGAUGUGGAGGAAUACCGAUGGCGAAGGCAGCCCCCUGGGCCAAAUACUGACGCUCAUGCACGAAAAGGCGUGGGGGAGCAAACAGGAUUAGAUACCCCUGGUAGUCCACGCCCUAAACGAUGUCAACUAGUUGUUGGGG
RNAcentral lists this ribosomal RNA (488 nucleotides) under uncultured bacterium. Its description in RNAcentral is "partial 16S ribosomal RNA". It matches the Rfam family "Bacterial small subunit ribosomal RNA", at positions 355 to 828 of the family's 1533-position model. The record is from RNAcentral.